CCCUGGCUCAGGACGAACGCUGGCGGCAUGCCUAAUACAUGCAAGUCGAGCGGAGUUUUGUUGAAAGCUUGCUUUCAACAGGAUUUAGCGGCGGACGGGUGAGUAACACGUAGGCAACCUGCCCCAUAGCCUGGGAUAACUACCGGAAACGGUAGCUAAUACCGGAUAAUUCCUUUUCCCUCCUGGGAAGAGGAUGAAAGACGGAGUAAUCUGUCGCUGAGGGAUGGGCCUGCGGCGCAUUAGCUAGUUGGUGGGGUAACGGCUCACCAAGGCGACGAUGCGUAGCCGACCUGAGAGGGUGAACGGCCACACUGGGACUGAGACACGGCCCAGACUCCUACGGGAGGCAGCAGUAGGGAAUCUUCCGCAAUGGGCGCAAGCCUGACGGAGCAAUGCCGCGUGAGUGAUGAAGGUUUUCGGAUCGUAAAGCUCUGUUGCCAGGGAAGAACGUCUUAUAGAGUAACUGCUAUAAGAGUGACGGUACCUGAGAAGAAAGCCCCGGCUAACU
RNAcentral lists this ribosomal RNA (508 nucleotides) under Paenibacillaceae bacterium CL5.112. Its description in RNAcentral is "bacterial SSU rRNA". It matches the Rfam family "Bacterial small subunit ribosomal RNA", at positions 17 to 502 of the family's 1533-position model. The record is from RNAcentral. Lineage: Bacteria; Bacillati; Bacillota; Bacilli; Caryophanales; Paenibacillaceae.